RNAcentral lists this ribosomal RNA (301 nucleotides) under uncultured bacterium. Its description in RNAcentral is "partial 16S ribosomal RNA". It matches the Rfam family "Bacterial small subunit ribosomal RNA", at positions 509 to 807 of the family's 1533-position model. The record is from RNAcentral.
CAGCCGCCGCGGUAACACAGAGGGUGCGAGCGUUAAUCGGAUUUACUGGGCGUAAAGCGUGCGUAGGCGGCUUCUUAAGUCGGAUGUGAAAUCCCUGAGCUUAACUUAGGAAUUGCAUUCGAUACUGGGAAGCUAGAGUAUGGGAGAGGAUGGUAGAAUUCCAGGUGUAGCGGUGAAAUGCGUAGAGAUCUGGAGGAAUACCGAUGGCGAAGGCAGCCAUCUGGCCUAAUACUGACGCUGAGGUACGAAAGCAUGGGGAGCAAACAGGAUUAGAUACCCCCGUAGUCCCUGUCUCUUAUAC